CAGUAGCCGCGGGAAUACGAGGGGAGCUAGCGUUGUUCGGAAUUACUGGGCGUAAAGCGCGCGUAGGCGGCUUUUUAAGUCAGAGGUGAAAGCCCGGGGCUCAACCCCGGAAUUGCCUUUGAAACUGGAAAGCUAGAAUCUUGGAGAGGUCAGUGGAAUUCCGAGUGUAGAGGUGAAAUUCGUAGAUAUUCGGAAGAACACCAGUGGCGAAGGCGACUGACUGGACAAGUAUUGACGCUGAGGUGCGAAAGCGUGGGGAGCAAACAGGAUUAGAUACCCCAGUAGUCCCUGUCUCUUAUAC
This 301-nucleotide ribosomal RNA is filed under the name uncultured bacterium. Its description in RNAcentral is "partial 16S ribosomal RNA". It matches the Rfam family "Bacterial small subunit ribosomal RNA", at positions 509 to 807 of the family's 1533-position model. The record is from RNAcentral.